RNAcentral lists this non-coding RNA (194 nucleotides) under Planctomycetales bacterium. The record is from RNAcentral. Lineage: Bacteria; Pseudomonadati; Planctomycetota; Planctomycetia; Planctomycetales.
GACGACAUCCCUCCGACGGGUGCCCGUGGCGUAGUCGACGCGGGAGAAUAGGGAAGCCGGUGCGAAUCCGGCGCGGGGCCGCCGCUGUGAUCGGCGAGGCCCGGGACGUCGCGCCACUGCCGUUCGCGGCGGGAAGGCCGUCCGGGGCCGCGAGAGCCGAGAGCCAGAAGACCUGCCCGUCGGGACGACGAUCG